GCUUGCUUGUUGGGGUUGUAGGACACUCUAUACGGAGUUACAAAGGACGACAUUAGACGAAUCAUCUGGAAAGAUGAAUCAAAGAAGGUAAUAAUCCUGUAGUCGAAAAUGUUGUCUCUCUUGAGUGGAUCCUGAGUACGACGGAGCACGUGAAAUUCCGUCGGAAUCUGGGAGGACCAUCUCCUAAGGCUAAAUACUCUCUAGUGACCGAUAGUGAACCAGUACCGUGAGGGAAAGGUGAAAAGCACCCCGGAAGGGGAGUGAAAUAGAACCUGAAACCGUGUGCUUACAAGUAGUCAGAGCCCGUUAAUGGGUGAUGGCGUGCCUUUUGUAGAAUGAACCGGCGAGUUACGAUUUGAUGCAAGGUUAAGCAGUAAAUGUGGAGCCGUAGCGAAAGCGAGUCUGAAUAGGGCGUUUAGUAUUUGGUCGUAGACCCGAAACCAGGUGAUCUACCCUUGGUCAGGUUGAAGUUCAGGUAACACUGAAUGGAGGACCGAACCGACUUACGUUGAAAAGUGAGCGGAUGAACUGAGGGUAGCGGAGAAAUUCCAAUCGAACCUGGAGAUAGCUGGUUCUCUCCGAAAUAGCUUUAGGGCUAGC
Molecule: ribosomal RNA, 600 nt
Filed under: Staphylococcus aureus
Lineage: Bacteria; Bacillati; Bacillota; Bacilli; Caryophanales; Staphylococcaceae
Description: partial 23S ribosomal RNA
Rfam family: Bacterial large subunit ribosomal RNA
Source: RNAcentral